This 468-nucleotide ribosomal RNA is filed under the name uncultured bacterium. RNAcentral's name for it is "partial 16S ribosomal RNA". It matches the Rfam family "Bacterial small subunit ribosomal RNA", at positions 28 to 507 of the family's 1533-position model. The record is from RNAcentral.
GACGAACGCUGGCGGCAUGCUUAACACAUGCAAGUCGAACGGAAAGGCCCUGCUUUUGUGGGGUGCUCGAGUGGCGAACGGGUGAGUAACACGUGAGUAACCUGCCCUUGACUUUGGGAUAACUUCAGGAAACUGGGGCUAAUACCGGAUAGGAGCUCCUGCUGCAUGGUGGGGGUUGGAAAGGUUCGGCGGUUGGGGAUGGACUCGCGGCUUAUCAGCUUGUUGGUGGGGUAGUGGCUUACCAAGGCUUUGACGGGUAGCCGGCCUGAGAGGGUGACCGGCCACAUUGGGACUGAGAUACGGCCCAGACUCCUACGGGAGGCAGCAGUGGGGAAUAUUGCACAAUGGGCGGAAGCCUGAUGCAGCAACGCCGCGUGCGGGAUGACGGCCUUCGGGUUGUAAACCGCUUUCGCCUGUGACGAAGCGUGAGUGACGGUAAUGGGUAAAGAAGCACCGGCUAACUACGUG